UCAAUCAGUAUUUUGUAUAUUGUAUACAAUUCAAUGGAUUAAAAUAUAUCUCUUCUCCUUUGCUCCUUCCUUUUCCUUUGUCCUGUCGGGCUUUGAUUACGCUAGCUUCAUUGCCGACCUUGAGUUGUCGGCGAGAUGAGAGUGAGCAUCUCCUUUUAGGAUGAAUAAUGCGUUAAUUGUUGGCAGUCUUUGGCAACCCUCUGUUGUGAUGGGUUUUACCUUCCUUUGUGUUAGAAUUGUCUUCACAUUUUCGCAUUUCGAUGAUGUUGUUGUGUGAAGGACCUAGUUCUCAUUUGGGUGUUUUUUCUGGAAUCUCGAAAUCGCUUAAUUUGUUUCAGCUUUUCACACUUAUUGUUUCAAGACAGCAAGAGGUGUGUCCAUUGCAACAGAGUGAGGGCGUGACAGGGCUCCAUGUAUCAUGGUGGCUUUUUCGCCUUAAAUGGUUGAACACUAACAUAUGGAUGAGGGUUUCGAUGCUUCCUUCUUGAUAGGUAAUCGCGAUCUAAUUCAAACAAAGUUUACUCUUUUCCCGAAAUUGGAUUUCAGGCCAUUUGAGUUUUCUCUUUGUUUUAUUUUUACAAUUUGUCUUGUGCUGAUUGUACAUUUGUACGGGGCUUGGUCCUCAAUUGUUUGAAUAAUAGUAUUGAGAAUAUUAGUAUAAGUUUACCUAGGAUAGGAUAUCUAAUACACUUUGUUCAACAAGUGACUUGUAGACAUCAUAAGUUAUUUAUGCAAUCUCAAUGAGAGGAUAUCAUUUACAUUUUUAAUAAGUUAUGAUUUCACUAUUGUAAGU
RNAcentral lists this long non-coding RNA (793 nucleotides) under Gossypium raimondii (Peruvian cotton). Its description in RNAcentral is "long non-coding RNA (GRAI_LNC008921)". Lineage: Eukaryota; Viridiplantae; Streptophyta; Magnoliopsida; Malvales; Malvaceae. The record is from RNAcentral.